GAUUAAGUUAUUAAGGGCGCACGGUGGAUGCCUUGGCACUAGAAGCCGAUGAAGGACGUUACUAACGACGAUAUGCUUUGGGGAGCUGUAAGUAAGCUUUGAUCCAGAGAUUUCCGAAUGGGGAAACCCAGCAUGAGUUAUGUCAUGUUAUCGAUAUGUGAAUACAUAGCAUAUCAGAAGGCACACCCGGAGAACUGAAACAUCUUAGUACCCGGAGGAAGAGAAAGAAAAUUCGAUUCCCUUAGUAGCGGCGAGCGAAACGGGAAGAGCCCAAACCAACAAGCUUGCUUGUUGGGGUUGUAGGACACUCUAUACGGAGUUACAAAGGACGACAUUAGACGAAUCAUCUGGAAAGAUGAAUCAAAGAAGGUAAUAAUCCUGUAGUCGAAAAUGUUGUCUCUCUUGAGUGGAUCCUGAGUACGACGGAGCACGUGAAAUUCCGUCGGAAUCUGGGAGGACCAUCUCCUAAGGCUAAAUACUCUCUAGUGACCGAUAGUGAACCAGUACCGUGAGGGAAAGGUGAAAAGCACCCCGGAAGGGGAGUGAAAUAGAACCUGAAACCGUGUGCUUACAAGUAGUCAGAGCCCGUUAAUGGGUGAUGGCGUGCCUUUUGUAGAAUGAACCGGCGAGUUACGAUUUGAUGCAAGGUUAAGCAGUAAAUGUGGAGCCGUAGCGAAAGCGAGUCUGAAUAGGGCGUUUAGUAUUUGGUCGUAGACCCGAAACCAGGUGAUCUACCCUUGGUCAGGUUGAAGUUCAGGUAACACUGAAUGGAGGACCGAACCGACUUACGUUGAAAAGUGAGCGGAUGAACUGAGGGUAGCGGAGAAAUUCCAAUCGAACCUGGAGAUAGCUGGUUCUCUCCGAAAUAGCUUUAGGGCUAGCCUCAAGUGAUGAUUAUUGGAGGUAGAGCACUGUUUGGACGAGGGGCCCCUCUCGGGUUACCGAAUUCAGACAAACUCCGAAUGCCAAUUAAUUUAACUUGGGAGUCAGAACAUGGGUGAUAAGGUCCGUGUUCGAAAGGGAAACAGCCCAGACCACCAGCUAAGGUCCCAAAAUAUAUGUUAAGUGGAAAAGGAUGUGGCGUUGCCCAGACAACUAGGAUGUUGGCUUAGAAGCAGCCAUCAUUUAAAGAGUGCGUAAUAGCUCACUAGUCGAGUGACACUGCGCCGAAAAUGUACCGGGGCUAAACAUAUUACCGAAGCUGUGGAUUGUCCUUUGGACAAUGGUAGGAGAGCGUUCUAAGGGCGUUGAAGCAUGAUCGUAAGGACAUGUGGAGCGCUUAGAAGUGAGAAUGCCGGUGUGAGUAGCGAAAGACGGGUGAGAAUCCCGUCCACCGAUUGACUAAGGUUUCCAGAGGAAGGCUCGUCCGCUCUGGGUUAGUCGGGUCCUAAGCUGAGGCCGACAGGCGUAGGCGAUGGAUAACAGGUUGAUAUUCCUGUACCACCUAUAAUCGUUUUAAUCGAUGGGGGGACGCAGUAGGAUAGGCGAAGCGUGCGAUUGGAUUGCACGUCUAAGCAGUAAGGCUGAGUAUUAGGCAAAUCCGGUACUCGUUAAGGCUGAGCUGUGAUGGGGAGAAGACAUUGAGUCUUCGAGUCGUUGAUUUCACACUGCCGAGAAAAGCCUCUAGAUAGAAAAUAGGUGCCCGUACCGCAAACCGACACAGGUAGUCAAGAUGAGAAUUCUAAGGUGAGCGAGCGAACUCUCG
RNAcentral lists this ribosomal RNA (1705 nucleotides) under Staphylococcus aureus. Its description in RNAcentral is "partial 23S ribosomal RNA". It matches the Rfam family "Bacterial large subunit ribosomal RNA", at positions 1 to 1704 of the family's 2925-position model. The record is from RNAcentral. Lineage: Bacteria; Bacillati; Bacillota; Bacilli; Caryophanales; Staphylococcaceae.